CCCGAGUGGUAAAUUUUGGAGAUGUUGUACUUGUGUACUCUGGUUCAACUCCUGUGAGGGUGUAUUUUCGUUUCCUGUUGGAGUGAAAAGAACAUAGUAGAUUUGAAUGCAAAUGAGAAGGAGCACACAAUUAGAAAUGAGUCGAAGAGAGAGAAACGAAACAAUGAGUCUUGUAUUUAAGACAAAUACAACAAAUGUGAUUUAUAAUAAAACAAUGUAACAUGCUAGGAUUGUAAGAAAGACGAAA
Molecule: long non-coding RNA, 247 nt
Filed under: Medicago truncatula (barrel medic)
Lineage: Eukaryota; Viridiplantae; Streptophyta; Magnoliopsida; Fabales; Fabaceae
Description: lncRNA gene43268
Source: RNAcentral